RNAcentral lists this ribosomal RNA (577 nucleotides) under Campylobacter jejuni. RNAcentral describes it as "partial 23S ribosomal RNA". It matches the Rfam family "Bacterial large subunit ribosomal RNA", at positions 1 to 591 of the family's 2925-position model. The record is from RNAcentral. Lineage: Bacteria; Pseudomonadati; Campylobacterota; Epsilonproteobacteria; Campylobacterales; Campylobacteraceae.
AAAGGUAAGCUACUAAGAGCGAAUGGUGGAUGCCUUGACUGGUAAAGGCGAUGAAGGACGUACUAGACUGCGAUAAGCUACGGGGAGCUGUCAAGAAGCUUUGAUCCGUAGAUUUCCGAAUGGGGCAACCCAAUGUAUAGAGAUAUACAUUACCUAUAUAGGAGCGAACGAGGGGAAUUGAAACAUCUUAGUACUCUCAGGAAAAGAAAUCAAUAGAGAUUGCGUCAGUAGCGGCGAGCGAAAGCGCAAGAGGGCAAACCCAGUGCUUGCACUGGGGGUUGUAGGACUGCAAUGUGCAAGAGCUGAGUUUAGCAGAACAUUCUGGAAAGUAUAGCCAUAGAGGGUGAUAGUCCCGUAUGCGAAAAACAAAGCUUAGCUAGCAGUAUCCUGAGUAGGGCGGGACACGAGGAAUCCUGUCUGAAUCCGGGUCGACCACGAUCCAACCCUAAAUACUAAUACCAGAUCGAUAGUGCACAAGUACCGUGAGGGAAAGGUGAAAAGAACUGAGGUGAUCAGAGUGAAAUAGAACCUGAAACCAUUUGCUUACAAUCAUUCAGAGCCCUAUGUAGCAAUACAG